UCUCAUGCCGUCUUCACCUUCGCUCUUCGUUGCGGCGCUCAAGGCCCCUCCUCCUCCGGAUUUGGAUUCGGUUUGUGAUCCUGAUAGGUGUUCUUCCCAACCAUAAGUGUUUAAUCCAAUAUAUUUUCAUUUGACUUGAUGCGUUGCUUGCUGCUUUCUUGCGUCGUCUCGAUUCAACUGUUUCCCGUUUUUCUUCUCUGAACCGAGCAAUGGCUGCGCUAUGAAUUUGGAUUUGAAUUUGAAUUUUUUUUACAACAACGCACAUGUAAAGAGUCCCCGGGUUCUUGAUCCUGAAUACCCGGGUGCCUAACCUUGGUGUGCGAGAGCUAAACCUUCGCCGGCUAUCCACGCUUCCUACCAGCAGGCGGGCGCUUCUUCGCCCUGUUCGCUUCUCGCGUGAUUCGCCGCACAUUUUCGAAUUUUUUUUAUUUCACCUCCGUUUUUUCUUUUUGCCUUCUUUGUUUAUUUCGUUUCGAGAUCCUCCUGGCGUAGUCGAUUCAGCGGCAGUUUUUCUUUAAAAUUUAUUAUUAUUAUUAUUAUUAUUAUUAUUAUUAUUAUUUUGCUGUUGACAAACAGGGCUCAUGGAAUUUAAUGAGUUUUGACAGUUGUCCG
This 612-nucleotide small RNA is filed under the name Oryza sativa Japonica Group (Japanese rice). RNAcentral's name for it is "sRNA Os01g0259933". Lineage: Eukaryota; Viridiplantae; Streptophyta; Magnoliopsida; Poales; Poaceae. The record is from RNAcentral.